RNAcentral lists this ribosomal RNA (1041 nucleotides) under uncultured Burkholderia sp. RNAcentral's name for it is "bacterial SSU rRNA". It matches the Rfam family "Bacterial small subunit ribosomal RNA", at positions 469 to 1502 of the family's 1533-position model. Lineage: Bacteria; Pseudomonadati; Pseudomonadota; Betaproteobacteria; Burkholderiales; Burkholderiaceae. The record is from RNAcentral.
AGAUCGGUACCGAUGGAAUAGCACUGGCUAACUAACGUGCCAGGCAGGCGCGUUAUUACGGUAGGGUGCGAGCCGUUAUUCGGAACUACUUGGGCCGUAAAGCGUGGCGCAGGCGGUUUGCUAAGACCGAUGUGAAAUCCCCGGGGCUCAAACCUGGGAACUGCAUUUGGUGACUGGGCAGGGCUAGAGUAUGGCAGGGGGGGGGUAGAAUUGCACGUGUAGCAGUGAAAUGCGUAGAGAUGUGGAGGGAAUACCGAUGGCGAAAGGCAGCCCCGUGGGCCAAUACUGACGCUCAUGCACGAAAGCGUGGGGAGCAAACAGGAUUAGAUACCUGGUAGUCCACGCCCUAAACGAUGUCAACUAGUUGUUGGGGAUUCAUUUCCUUAGUAACGUAGCUAACGCGUGAAGUUGACCGCCUGGGGAGUACGGUCGCAAGAUUAAAACUCAAAGGAAUUGACGGGGACCCGCACAAGCGGUGGAUGAUGUGGAUUAAUUCGAUGCAACGCGAAAAACCUUACCUACCCUUGACAUGGUCGGAAUCCCGCUGAGAGGUGGGAGUGCUCGAAAGAGAACCGGCGCACAGGUGCUGCAUGGCUGUCGUCAGCUCGUGUCGUGAGAUGUUGGGUUAAGUCCCGCAACGAGCGCAACCCUUGUCCUUAGUUGCUACGCAAGAGCACUCUAAGGAGACUGCCGGUGACAAACCGGAGGAAGGUGGGGAUGACGUCAAGUCCUCAUGGCCCUUAUGGGUAGGGCUUCACACGUCAUACAAUGGUCGGAACAGAGGGUUGCCAACCCGCGAGGGGGAGCUAAUCCCAGAAAACCGAUCGUAGUCCGGAUUGCACUCUGCAACUCGAGUGCAUGAAGCUGGAAUCGCUAGUAAUCGCGGAUCAGCAUGCCGCGGUGAAUACGUUCCCGGGUCUUGUACACACCGCCCGUCACACCAUGGGAGUGGGUUUUACCAGAAGUGGCUAGUCUAACCGCAAGGAGGACGGUCACCACGGUAGGAUUCAUGACUGGGGUGAAGUCGUAACAAGGUAACAC